GACGAACGCUGGCGGCGUGCUUAACACAUGCAAGUCGAGCGGUAAGGCCCUUUCGGGGGUACACGAGCGGCGAACGGGUGAGUAACACGUGGGUGACCUGCCCUCAGCUCUGGGAUAAGCCUGGGAAACCGGUCUAAUACUGGAUAUGACUCCAUGACGCAUGUUGUGGGGUGGAAAGCCUUGUGCGGCUGAGGAUGGGGCCCGCGGCCUAUCAGCUUGUUGGUGGGGUGAGGCCUACCAAGGCGACGACGGGUAGCCGGCCUGAGAGGGCGACCGGCCACACUGGGACUGAGACACGGCCCAGACUCCUACGGGAGGCAGCAGUGGGGAAUCUUGCGCAAUGGGCGAAAGCCUGACGCAGCGACGCCGCGUGAGGGAUGACGGCCU
Molecule: ribosomal RNA, 387 nt
Filed under: uncultured bacterium
Lineage: Bacteria
Description: bacterial SSU rRNA
Rfam family: Bacterial small subunit ribosomal RNA
Source: RNAcentral